Long non-coding RNA from Styela clava, 456 nucleotides. RefSeq lists it as uncharacterized. NCBI's taxonomy places the organism in Eukaryota, Metazoa, Chordata, Ascidiacea, Stolidobranchia, Styelidae. The record is from RefSeq and is a predicted model, not a curated record.
UGAGGUUUGAUUUUCUGUAGGAUGUAGGGAUAGGCUGACUAUUGGGUUGUGACAGUGAGUUCGAAACAAUAUUCAGAUUCAGAAAUAAUAAAAGUUAAUGAUUCAAAGACACAAAGUAACGAACGAGGAAUAUUACAACGUUUUGAAACACUGCUUGAAAGUCGGCAGGACAACUUAUAAUUGCACCAAAAGAAAUACGUCAAGAGCCAGGUUUUCAUCACUGAGUGAGAUGGAGGCCUAUCAAGUCUGAAGAGCAAGAAGUCGCUGGGAAGGAAAGAUUAGAGAACUGGAAGCUUUCUGGAACACUUCUUGAAAACGGGAAAGACAAUUUAUCAUUAUAUCUAAAGACGUGCGGAAUUGUUUGUCCGAUUAUGCAUCACUGAGAGAAUUUGCUGCCUCAGAGCAAUUUUCUAAAACACUGCUUGAAAAUGUCAUUGCAUCAAACGAUAUUGUAAA